Molecule: non-coding RNA, 2645 nt
Organism: Python bivittatus (Burmese python)
Lineage: Eukaryota; Metazoa; Chordata; Lepidosauria; Squamata; Pythonidae
Source: RefSeq, a predicted model, not a curated record
UUUAAGGAACAAUUAUUAAAGGAAAUGCAGAGAAAAACACUUGAUUUACCUAAAGAGUUGACAAAGGAUGGAGCUGUUAUUUAAAGCUAAGCUUUUUAAUGUUCAUAUUGCGGAAGCAGUCAAACUUUUGGGGCUCAUGGAUAUGUUUGAAAUUCUGAGGAAGUAUUGGGGUACCAGUGGCUGUUAUAGCAGUGUGGCUAUCCACAAAAUUGAUUUUCUCCUAAAAACUGAUAUUCCUCCCACUAAAAUCAAUUGAGUUCCACUCUGUUCCUUUGGAAAGAAAUUGAUUUUCUUUAUUAAAAAGUAAUGUAUUUUCCCUUUAACAUUAAUUGAUAUUGCCUUUAAAGUGAAUUUUUCCCACUUUAAAAUAAAUUCAUUUCUCCCUUUGAAAUAAAUGGAUUCUGUCCCUGCAAAAGUAUUUGAUUCCCACUCUUUUAACUGCAUAAUAGUGGAGAGAUUGAAAAUAGGCAGGCUUGGUGACAGUAGAGAAGAGAGAAUGGGUGGGAGAGUCUGAAGAAAGAAACCACAUAUACUUGACUAAAGCCAUUUUUCUUCCUCCUUUUCCUUCUUCUCCAUGCUGGCCCUCCUUAUCCUACUCUGGGAUGAUGACAAGCAAAACUGGCACUGUCAUAGCCACCAGAGCUAUCUUGAAAGCUUCUUCAGUAUGAGGCUAAUGAAUCUUCUUCAGGAGCACACCAAGGAGAAUGGGAGCCAGCAAUGUAAUCAUACUCUCCACCAUUAUUACCACUACCACCAUGUUCUCUGUGUCCUUGAAAGAUGGAGCCAUGUCCACCAAAACACUAUAUUGGUAGUGGCAUUCAAGUUUCCAGAAACAGGAGGUCCAUGAUGAUUGAGGGGGCGGUAGGCAAUCUCUUCCCAGCCCCAAUCUUGCAGAUGUUGUGAAUAUUGAGGAUGUUAUUCCCCGAUGCCCUUCCUGAAAGCAAUUUUUGCAUUAGUUCACAAGAAGUGACUACAGGUAUAGGAUGGAGAAAGAAAAAGAAAAAUCCUUUUCUUGUUGGAGCUGCCAUGCAUGUGGGAGAGGAACCACAUUCAAGUUAAAGGAUAUCCUGUAGCCUGCUCGCCUGUCAAGGAGUUGUGGAAAUGUGCUGGCAUUCCAGCUGAAGACAUCAUUAUGAGUGAGAAAAUGCUCAAGGCCUUUUUUCAAAGUGGGCGGUGAAAGAGAUGCUUUCCUUCUUUGACUCCAGGGGAUGCUAAGAGCUGCCCUAGCAGACAGAGUGGAUUGUAUGGCACAGCUGAUGUGCAGGCAAAACUUGAAGUGAGCAUGUUUGAAACAAAGUCUCCCGAAGCAGUGGGGUCUGUGGUCUGCAGCUCCUCCUCCGAAGAACCUUACAAGAACUGGAUUGAUAGGGUUUGUCCUCUGCCACUGAUAACCAAGAUUUGAUCCAUAAAAGUUGGCAGCUUUGUGAGCAAUGGGAAAGGAGCAGUUUUACUUUAACUCUAGCCAUUGAAUCUGAAGAGUAAUUGCCACCCUGGAAAGGUAAUUACAUAUGCUAUUGUUUAUACACAUAAUAGGUCUGGAAUGCAUGUUCUGCAGAUAGAAAAAAGAAAAAGAAAAUCCUGCUUUCAGAUUGGGGCGGUACACAAUGUAUAGUGACAGAAUGCCACAAAUAGCAUUCAUACCCUUGCAUGUUAAUGGGUGAUUUCUCUUGGUGUGUGUGUUUAAGCAGGGGGGAGAAGGGAUUUGGAGCACGAAAGGGGAGGGAAGGCGAAGAAGGCUUUUUUAUAAAGUACCAUGUAAAUACAAGUGAUUUUCCCCUCUCUCGCUCUUCCUAGUUCCCUUUCUCCUGCUGUCUCUUUCUUUUAAAAAGAAUCAAGAGAAAUGUUUUUGAAGCUUCAAAGGGAUUGCACUGUUCUCUUACCCCACGGGAAUAUUAAUUACUCCCAAACUUUUAAAAUUUCUUGAACAAUACCAUAUGUGUUUGUAAAAGAAAUUACAUAGAAGGCUGUACUAAAGGGGUCUUGACUUGAAUUGCCCUGAAAUUGGACCAAACAGUUUGACAGAAUAUUGGAUAGCAGUUUGAAGCAUCCUGCUGUGUCUGGAGUGGGACACCACACGUGCACGCGCACACACACACACACUGGAUGUUGAUUACCAGAGUGUCUCUUGCAUCUAUUUUAUUUGGUUAUUUAAAUGCAUAUAUUGGAAAUAACAUAUAGAUUUGAUUGCCAUGAUACGUCCUUUCUGAACUGUAAACAUGCCUUUCUCAAGAACAAAAUUUUAUAUACAUUGCAGAGAAUGCUUCAGAGUAUUGUAGGAACAAGAAUGGCACAAAGCCAAAAAUUCUUUUGUAUUUUAAUAUUGAACCAAGCAUUGUUAGGGGUUGAAGCAAAUCAUCACGGGUUAUGCUCUGUCGUGGUGUCCAGCAAAUUGCAUGACCAGCUUGUUAGGCUUGACAAGAGCCCUUUCCCUAACAAAAGCCUCAGCAACUCCUAGCAGCCAUGGAAUGUCAGAAUGAACACAUUUCACACACAGAUGUGUGACCAUAAUGGCUGUAAGAAGAUGCAUGUGGUGGAGAAAAGGGGGAGUGGGUUGGGGAGACUAACAGUUAGCAGUGGGGACCCAGCCCUGUUGACCAUUUUUAAUCAGUGCUUCUGUAAACAAUUCAACAUUUUCAUUGUUCUCC